UGUUCUUGAUUCAUGCGUAGUUAUUUCAUAGAUAGAUCUUUAAUGGAUUAUGAUUAUUGAUAUAUGGAUUGCUUUAGUAUUUGAUUCGUCGUAGACGUAGAAAGCACGACGGAUGCUUAGAAAUUGAGUUCAUAUGUUCAUGAAACAUAUACUAUGAUUAUAUCUAUCCUACAUUUAAUCUUUAAUCAAGAACCAUAGAGUUUAUUCCUUGGAUGCAAUAUCAUCAAGGGAGAUUCCAGAUCCCUACCAUCUUUAUU
Molecule: long non-coding RNA, 257 nt
Filed under: Phoenix dactylifera (date palm)
Lineage: Eukaryota; Viridiplantae; Streptophyta; Magnoliopsida; Arecales; Arecaceae
Description: long non-coding RNA (PDAC_LNC012253)
Source: RNAcentral